CACUCUAAUGAGACUGCCGGUGACAAAACCGGACGGGAAGGUAGGGGAGUGACGUCAAGUCCUCAUGGCCCUUAUGGGUAGGGCUUCACACGUCAUACAAUGGUCGGUACAGAGGGCUGCCAACCCGCAAGGGGGGAGCCAAUCCCUUAAAACCGAUCGUAGUCCGGAUUGAGGUCUGCAACUCGACCUCAUGAAGUCGGAAUCGCUAGUAAUCGCGGAUCAGCAUGUCGCGGUGAAUACGUUCCCGGGGCUU
RNAcentral lists this ribosomal RNA (253 nucleotides) under uncultured Alcaligenaceae bacterium. RNAcentral describes it as "partial 16S ribosomal RNA". It matches the Rfam family "Bacterial small subunit ribosomal RNA", at positions 1136 to 1382 of the family's 1533-position model. Lineage: Bacteria; Pseudomonadati; Pseudomonadota; Betaproteobacteria; Burkholderiales; Alcaligenaceae. The record is from RNAcentral.